Molecule: ribosomal RNA, 51 nt
Filed under: Pyricularia grisea
Lineage: Eukaryota; Fungi; Ascomycota; Sordariomycetes; Magnaporthales; Pyriculariaceae
Description: partial 26S ribosomal RNA
Source: RNAcentral
CGGCGUGCUCCAGCCGCUAAACCCCCAAUUCUUAAAGGUGACCUCGGAUCA